AAGCAAAAGAAAUAAAACAAACACACAACAAUUUUGAGAUGUCUCCGUUGCCGUUGAAUGCUGAGCAAGUAUUGCAACAUUUUACCCAUAUCCACCCUUUAACGAAAGUUGACGGGGUUGGCACGUACAUAUGCGAUGGCUGUAAAACCUACGGCUCUGGGAGGACCUACCGUUGCGCCGCUUGCAACUACGAUCUUCACGAGUUCUGUGCCAUAUGUCCCCCUACACUCCUCAGCACUCUACAUCCACACCACGAGCUCAGGUUAGUACACCAGGAUAGACGUGCAUGCGACAUCUGCAAAGAAUCAAUCAACGGGCUGUUUUACCAAUGCAAGACCUGCGGCUUCGACGUCCAUCCACUCUGCACGUAGCUGCCUAAGGAAGUGAUCCACAAUCACGGAUAUACAAAACAAGUUCAGGUUCGAGAAUCCCAUACGGGUUCGACUAGUAAAACGGUUCGGGUAAUGGUUCUAGGCGCUGGUGUUGCUUGGCUUUGCAUGACAGGGGAUGUCUCUGGGGUCGUUUCUGCCUUCCUUUGAAAUGGCAUGUUUCUGACAUCCUGCCCCAUCAUGUGCAUAUUCCUUAUUCAAUAUAAGUUUUGUGCUCUACUGUUUUAUACAAAAUCUAUUUAAAAUUUUAAAGCAAAAAUAGCUAAAAAAAAACUGUUAUUUGUUUAUUCCGUUUUGCCAUGAGAAGUGUGAGUAAAAAAAGGUUGUGUAUUUUAAAGUUGUGAAUUUUGAGAGUUUUUAGUUAUUUUAAAUUGUAUUACCGAAGUUUCUUAGUUAAAUAAAAAAUAAAAAACUCAAAAUUUCAUAGUGCCAGAUUAAAUCCUAGAGUAGUUUAACUAAAUCCAUAGCAAAAUCCCAUUUCAUUUAAAGUCAUCAAUGAACUUAACAAAAAUCAAAUCAUUUCAAUUUUUCUUUUAAACUCUAUAUUUAGUGAAUCGCGUAAAAUAAGAUAGUUAUAAGAAAAUAAUGAAAUUUUUGUCAAAUAAAUAUAAACUAUCAAAAGUAAUCAUUCACUAACUAUCAUAUAGAUACACUAAACUUUAGUCCUUCCGUUCCCGAAAGUAAAAUUUUCUAGGGCUUAUUCUUGUUCCACAAAAAUAGAUUUUCAAUAUUUUUAAGGUACUUUUGUAUACUUUUGAAAAAAUAUUAAUUGUGAAUAUUUGAAUUGAUUAAAUUUUAUUGGUGGAUAGUUAUUGGAAAGUGUAUUGAAAACUAAAUUGUAAAUUAAAUUGCAAAUAUUUAUUAUAUUCUUAAUAAACGUGAAAACUCUAGAAAAUCUUACUUUCGGAAACGGAGGGAGUAUAAUUUUAUAUUUUGUUUAUAAAAUAAAUAAAUAUGAUCUUUCGCUAUAUAUAUAUUAAAAGUUAAUUCAUUUGAACGUUUGAGUAAAUUCAAGAGACGAUAAAACAUUAAUCAUGGGUUGAUAAGGAAGCCCAAUUCGAGGCAUGUCAUGAAAAGGCUUAUCAGUGACAGACGUUAUGCUUUCUGGUUCAGGAAAGUGACCGUAAUACUAAUGUAGUAAAGCUUGUUCUCAAACAACACGCUAAGCUAUAUAUUGUUUACAUCCAAUCUAACCCAAACCUAAACAAUCGAAAGAAAGAACAGCAAAUAAUUUUAUUAAUAAUAUAUGGUUGUUCUUCGUGUAAAUUUGUUUCUAUCCAAUGUGCAAAUUGACUAAAAUUUAUAUAUAAAAAGUAUCAAUCUUAAAUAUACACAAAAAUCAUUGGUAGGAAAAUGUAACGCAACAAAAAAAGGCCAAAAUGACCAUAAUAUUGCCGGUCAACUAGCCAACUCAACUAAACUAAUCUGUUGCGUUCUCAUAAUAUGUAAUGAGUGAGUUGAACUAUAAAAAAAAAAUUUCUCAACUAAAUUUUGUUAAAUAUUUUAAUACUUAAUAUAUUCUUUCCUAUCUUGUCAUCAAUAAUUAUUUUUUCCAUUUAGUACACUAAUAUUUAAAACCGUCUUCUUCUUAACACUCAAACAGUAAUAUAAAAGUUGAGACAAUAAUUAUUUUUUUCCCGAAAACUUUAAAAGCAAAUCUUAUAAUUUAAACUUUUAUUUUAAAAUAAAAGUAACAAAUAUUUGGAUAAAAAACUAAAUUUAUAAAAAAAUUCUUUUGAUAAAGAUAAACUGGUUUAAAUUUUGGAAAACAAAUUAAAGUUGGUAUAAAAAUAAAAUUACAAUUAUAAUGUUUAUUGUUUUCCACAAUUUAGUUACUUUUAUUAUAGUUGCUUAAAAUAAAAUUAUUAAUUUUACAGACUAUGUUUUUGUGUGUGUUGACACUUUUAAAUAUAUCUUUUGAACUUGAUAACAAUUUAUUUAAAUUAAAAUGAGCACAUUUAGAUUUUAAAAUGAGAACAAAAUUUGAAAUUAUUUUAUUAAAUGAAAAGAAUAAUUACUUAUAAUGUUAAAAUGAGUUAGCAAAAUUUAAUUAUUAACAAGUUCACAAAAUUUAGUUGAGAUGUUUUCAUGGAAAUUUCCCAUCAAGUUAAUAUGUUUAGAGAACAAGUUAACAAAAUUCUAUAUUGUUGAGAUUGUUUUGUUGAUCAUUUUACGAUUUUUAUGCAUAUGAUUUCCAUUUUAUAAAAAAAUUAUCCAACGACUAGACAAAUAUUCAGUCAACUCCUCCACUCUACCACACAUUAAAUAUAAGUUAUUAUAAAUAUAUGUAGAGAUGGACAAAAAUGUUUUAUUGUUGGUUACACGACUCAACGAAAGCUAUGUUAGUUGUCUCCAACACAAUGUUUGAGUUGGUCAAAGAAGUAUUCCUUUGACUAUUUUAAAAUUUUAUUUUGUUGAUUUGUGAUAUAUCGGAAGCUUCUAGGGAUAGAACUAGAUUUGUUGAUUCUAAGAAUACCAGAAAACUAGAAUUUGUGAAUACUCUUCACAGUGCUUAAUCAAAAUUUUUUUUGGGUUUGAGAAUACUCUUAUCAGUGGUUUAUAAAAACCUCUUCAAGAAAACUCAUUUUAUUAAUUAAAUCAUAAUCUGAAUACAAACUUAAGCCUAAACGGCUAUAUAUAAGAAAACCAUAAAACCCUAAAAGAAUAAAAAUAAUUAUCUAAAAUAAUUAACAAAUUAAAUGAUAAGAUAUUUAGAAAUAUUCCAAAUAUCUAUCUACAUCAAUUUGUAAAUCUACUCUUAGCUUAAUGAUCAUUUAACAAUGGCGAUGAGUGAACGAUCGACUGAAAUUUUUUUAAAAGCUGUAAUACCCGUGCCCUAGCUACCUGUCAACACGACUGUUAAUGACAACGUCCAUCAUUCAUGUUUGCUUGCUUUGUUUCCUUGCAAAAGUAAAUAAUUCUACAGAGAAUAUUACGUGGUGAGCACAAAACUCUACAUUGAACUGAAGAAAUUUAAAAAUAUUUCAAACAUGAGUACACAAGAGUUGAUUAACGAGAAGUAAACUUAAUUUCUUGUGCACCUGUGCAGUAUCAACAGAUAUAAUUAAUAUGCAGAAAAAAAGUUGUUAUGACCUAUAGAAAACAUUUAAAUAAACGAAAUGUCUAUAUUUUUUUUGUUAAAGAACGAAAUGUCUAUAUAUGAGUCAAAUAUGAAUCAAAUGGCAGGAACGGACGGGUAGCAAGUCAUUGUGCCCAACCCUACAGGUGGUAAGUAUACAAACAUGCCUUUGCCUGUCUAUUUGAUCUCAUACUUUCCUCGUCAUUUUCUUCCGAGGUUUCCAACUCUCUACUAUUCUUUACACGUUUUGGUAAGUCUCUGGUUUGGACCAUAUGUUUCCACUCAUUUCCAAUUUCUUUUUUUCUUCAUUCCAGUGACUUACCACUUGAUCACUUAACAUUUUCCUAGAAACUUCGUAUCCUGUUAUAUAUAUCACUGUUAUUUCUCUCAAGUCCUACCAUUCUCAAGAAGCAAAAGAAAUAAAACAAACACACAACAAUUUUGAGAUGUCUCCGUUGCCGUUGAAUGCUGAGCAAGUAUUGCAACAUUUUACCCAUAUCCACCCUUUAACGAAAGUUGACGGGGUUGGCACGUACAUAUGCUAUGGCUGUAAAACCUACGGCUCUGGGAGGACCUACCGUUGCGCCGCUUGCAACUACGAUCUUCACGAGUUCUGUGCCAAAUGUCCCCCUACAGUCCUCAGCACUCUACAUCCACACCACGAGCUCAGGUUAGUACACCAGGAUAGACGUGCAUGCGACAUCUGCAAAGAAUCAAUCAACGGGCUGUUUUACCAAUGCAAGACCUGCGGCUUCGACGUCCAUCCACUCUGCACGCAGCUGCCUAAGGAAGUGAUCCACAAUCACGGAUAUACAAAACAAGUUCAGGUUCGAGAAUCCCAUACGGGUUCGACUAGUAAAACGGUUCGGGUAAUGGUUCUAGGCGCUGGUGUUGCUUGGCUUUGCAUGACAGGGGAUGUCUCUGGGGUCGUUUCUGCCUUCCUUUGAAAUGGCAUGUUUCUGACAUCCUGCCCCAUCAUGUGCAUGUUCCUUAUUCAAUAUAAGUUUUGUACUCUACUGUUUUAUACAAAAUCUUUUUAAAAAUUUUAAAGCAAAAAUAGCUAAAAAAAAGAACUGUUAUUUGUUUAUUCCGUUUUCCCAUGAGAAGUGUGAGUAAAAAAAAGGUUGUGUAUUUUAAAGUUGUGAAUUUUGAGAGUUUUUAGUUAUUUUAAAUUGUAUUACCAAAGUUACUUAGUUAAAUAAAAAACUCAAAAUUUUGAUAGUGUCAAAUUAAUUCCUAGAGUAGUUUAACAAAAACCACAAUAAAAUCUCAUUUCAUUUAAAGUCAUCAAUAAACUUAACAAAAAUCAAAUCAUUUCAAUUUUCUUUUAACGGUACCAUUCUUUUAAAUUCUAUAUUAAGUGAAUCGCGUAAAAAUAAGGUAGUUAUAAAAAAAGAAAUUUUUGUCAAAUAAAUAUAAACUACAAAAGUAAUCAUUCACUAACAAUCAUAUAGAUACACUAAACAUUAUAAUUUUAUAUUUUGUUUAAAAAACAAAUAAAUAUGUUCGUUCAUUAGAUAUAUUGAAAGCUAAUUCGUUUGAACAUUUGAGAAAAGUCCAGAGACGAUAAAACAUUAAUCAUGGGUUGAUAAGGAAGCCCAAUUCAAGGCAUAUCAUGAAAAGUCUUAUAAGUGAAAGACGUUAUACUUUCUUGUUCAAGAAAGUGACCGUAAUAAUACUUAUGUAGUAAAGCUUGUUCUCAAACAACACGUUAAUUAAGCUAUACUGUAUAUUGUUUACAUCCAAUCCAAUCUAACCCAAACCAAACAAUCGAAAGAAAGCACACCAAAUAAUUUUUUUAUAAUAUAUGGUUGUUCUUCGCGUAAAUUUGUUUCUAUCCAAUGUGCAAAUUGACUAAAAGUUAUAUAUAAAAAGUAUCAAUCUUCAAUAUACACAAAAAUCAUUGGUAAAAAAUGUAACGCAACAAAAGAAAAGCCAAAAUGACCAUAAUAUUGCCGGUCAACUAGCCAACUAUACUAAACUAAUCUGUUGUGUUCUCAUAAUAUGUUAUGAAUGAGUUGAAUUAUAAAAAUAAAAAUUACUCAACUAAAUUUUGUUAAGUUUUUUAGUUCUUAAUAUUUUCUUUGCUAUCUUGUUAUAAAUAAUUAUUUUUUCCAUUUAGUACACUAGUAUUUAAAAACGUUUUCUUCUUAACGCUCAGACGGUAGUUAAAAAGUUCAGACGAUAAUUAAUUUUUCCCCAAAACUUUAAAAACAAAUCUUAUAAUUUAAAUUUUUAUUUUAGUUUUCAGGAAUUAAAGUAACAAAUUUUCGGAUAAAAAUUUAAAAUUAUAAAAAAAUUCUUUUGAAUAAAGAUAAACUGGUUUAAAUUUUGGAAAAAAUUAAAGUUGGUAUAAAUAUAAAAUUACAAUUAUAAUGUUUAAGGUUUUCCACAAUUUAGUUACUUUUAUUAUUAUAGCUUAAAAUAAAAUUAAAAAUUUUACGGAUUAUGUUUUUUUGUGUGUUGACACUUUUAAAAAUUUAUUUUGAACUUGUUAACAUUUUUUUAAUUAAAAUGAGCACAUUUUAGAUUUUAGAACAAGAAAAACAUUUGAAAUUAUUUUAUUAAAUAAAAAGAAUAAUUACUUAUAAUACUAAAAUGAGUUAUCAAAAUUUAAUUAUUAACAAGUUCACAAAAUUUAGUUGAGAUGUUUUCAUGGAAAUUUUCCUUCAAGUUAAUAUGUUUAGAGAACAAGUUAACAAAGUUUAUAUUGUUGAGAUUGUUUUGUUGAUCAUUUUACGAUUUUUAUGCAUAUGAUUUCCAUUUUAUAAAAUAAUUAUCCAACGACUAGACAAAUAUUCAGUCAACUCCUCUACUCUACCACACAUUAUAAGUUAUUAUACAUUCAUGUACAGUUGGACAAAAAUGUUUUAUUGCUUGUAACACGACUCAACGAAAGCUAUGUUAGUUAUCUCCCACACAAUAUUUUUUUUCUUUCGAUUAACCUGGGGGUAUCUCAGGCCCAUGGAGAGGUCCAGACUAAUCCCCAAGGAGAGGUGCAGCCUACAGAUAGAUCCUCUUUCCGGGUAUUCAAAUGGACCCUAAAACAUAGACCUAUAUCUGUGUUAGGUGACCAGGAUAGUUGUGACUUAGUUUCGCGCAACAGGUAGACCGAACCUGAAACGUGUUGACAUCUCAGUCCCGUCUCCUUACCACUCAACCACAAUCACCCGGUCAAUCUCCCGCACAAUGUUUGGUCAAAGAAGUAUUCCUUUGACUAUUUUAAAAUUCUAUUUUGUUGAUUUGUUAAUCUACUUUUCGCUUAAUGAUCAAUUAACAAUGGUGAUGAGUGAACGAUCGACUGAAAAAUUAUUAAAAGCUGUAAUACCCGUGCCCUAGCUACCUUUCAACAUGACAGUUAAUGACAACGUCCAUCGUUCAUGUUUGCUUGCUUUGUUUCCUUGCAAAAGAAAAUAUUUCUUGUGCACCUGUGCUGUAUCAACGGAUAUAAUUAAUAUGUAGAAAAAGUUGUUAUUACCUACAGAAAACAUUUAAAUAAACGAAAUGUCUAUAUAUUAGUCAAAUAUAAAUCAAAUGGCGGGAACGGACGGGUAGCAAGUCAUUGUGCGCAACCCUACUUGGUAAGUAUAUCAAAAAUGCCUUCGACUGUCUGUUUGAUCUCAUACUUUCCUCGUAAAUUUCUUCCUAGGUUUCCAACUCUCUACUAUUCUUUACACGUUUUGGUACGUCUCUGGUUUGGACUAUAUGUUUCCACUCAUUUCCAAUUUCUUUUUUUUUCUUCGUUCGAAAGACGUAACAGAUAUUUAGUCAACUCCUCUACUCUACCACACAUUAAAUAUAAGUUAUUAUACAUACCUGUACAGAUGGACAAAAAUGUUUUAUUGCUUGUAACACGACUCAACGAAAGCUAUGUUAGUUGUCUCCCACACAAUGUUUGAGUUGGUCAAAGAAGUAUUCCUUUGACUAUUUUAAAAUUUUAUUUUGUUGAUUUGUAAAUCUUCUCUGCGCUUAAUGAUCAAUUAACAAUGGCGAUGAGUGAACGAUCGACUGAAAAAAUUUUAAAAGCUGUAAUACCCGUGCCCUAGCUACCUUUCAACACAACUGUUAAUGACAAUGUCCAUCGUUCAUGUUUGCUUGCUUUGUUUCCUUGCAAAAGAAAAUAUUUCUUGCAUGUAUCAACAGAUAUAAUUAAUAUGCAGAAAAAGUUGUUAUGACCUAUACAAAACAUUUAAAUAAACGAAAUGUCUAUAUAUGAGUCAAAUAUGAAUCAAAUGGCAGGAACGGACGGGUAGCAAGUCAUUGUGCCCAACCCUACAGGUGGUAAGUAUACAAACAUGCCUUCGCCUGUCUAUUUGAUCUCAUACUUUCCUCGUCAUUUUCUUCCGAGGUUUCCAACUCUCUACUAUUCUUUACACGUUUUGGUAAGUCUCUGGUUUGGACCAUAUGUUUCCACUCAUUUCCAAUUUCUUUUUUUUCUUCAUUCCAGUGACUUACCACUUGAUCACUUAACAUUUUCCUAGAAACUUCGUAUCCUGUUAUAUAUAUCACUGUUAUUUCUCUCAAGUCCUACCAUUCUCAAGAAGCAAAAGAAAUAAAACAAACACACAAUAAUUUUGAGAUGUCUCCGUUGCCGUUGAAUGCUGAGCAAGUAUUGCAACAUUUUACCCAUAUCCACCCUUUAACGAAAGUUGACGGGGUUGGCACGUACAUAUGCGAUGGCUGUAAAACCUACGGCUCUGGGAGGACCUACCGUUGCGCCGCUUGCAACUACGAUCUUCACGAGUUCUGUGCCAUAUGUCCCCCUACACUCCUCAGCACUCUACAUCCACACCACGAGCUCAGGUUAGUA
This 8278-nucleotide long non-coding RNA is filed under the name Brassica napus (rape). RNAcentral's name for it is "long non-coding RNA (BNAP_LNC016132)". The record is from RNAcentral. Lineage: Eukaryota; Viridiplantae; Streptophyta; Magnoliopsida; Brassicales; Brassicaceae.